GGCCUCAGUGCGUCCUACUUGUGUCGUGUUUUAAGUCUGCCUUGCUCCAUCUACCAUUCCUCACAAUCCAUUUCUUGUAUGCCCGCUGCUUCGUAAAAAAUGACUUACUAAAUUAUUGAGUAAGCUUCCCGGUUUUAGGAAUUAUUCCCUUUUGUAGGUGGACCCCGCCUUGGAUUUCAAUCCGAGAUCAUCCCUUUUGGGGUUAUGGUUAGUUGAUCUCUCGCUUAGUUUAUUCCAUUUACUUCCACUCUUACUAAGACAUCUGCCUUGUCGAUUUGACUAUAAAAGGGGACUUUAGAGGCUUACCGACGACGAAGAAAGGACUUGCGCGGUCCGAUGGCUCUUAUACUGGUGUGCCUUCAAAUGUUAUUGAGAAAUGUUUUUGCAAAAAGAGGUCGCCUCUCUCAAGUUUGAGAAUCCUAUAUUGCUGCUCUGCUCGGUAGUGGCCUAAGGCUCAAUGAUGGAUCUUCUGCGCUAAGGCUAGCUCCCAUCUGAAAUCUUCUUGCUUUGAGCUCUCUUCGGUAAAGUGUAAAAGUGUUAACCAGCUGCUCUGCUCC
RNAcentral lists this long non-coding RNA (557 nucleotides) under Musa acuminata (dwarf banana). RNAcentral's name for it is "long non-coding RNA (MACU_LNC007193)". Lineage: Eukaryota; Viridiplantae; Streptophyta; Magnoliopsida; Zingiberales; Musaceae. The record is from RNAcentral.